AGAACUAGCACUGGUGAUCCACCAGCAUCAGAAUCUACACCAUUGCUUUCUUCCAGUCUGCGAUCUGUAUCUUCAGUGUCAUCUCUGAGGUCAUCAUUAGCAUCAUCAGAAGUGAUACAUAUAGGCACAGGAGCAUCUCGAUCACCUUCAGUUUCUCGUCCUCAAUCUAUCUCUAGCUCUCGUAACCAGCAUUCACUUUGGUCUUACCAGUCACCACAUCUUGCUAUAAGCCGGAGUUCACUGGACCUUCAAAAUGCAUCUUCUCAAAGAUCUCGUGCAGCUUACUUAAUUUCA
RNAcentral lists this unclassified non-coding RNA (294 nucleotides) under Hevea brasiliensis (rubber tree). Lineage: Eukaryota; Viridiplantae; Streptophyta; Magnoliopsida; Malpighiales; Euphorbiaceae. The record is from RNAcentral.